This 510-nucleotide ribosomal RNA is filed under the name Triticum aestivum (bread wheat). RNAcentral describes it as "partial small subunit ribosomal RNA". Lineage: Eukaryota; Viridiplantae; Streptophyta; Magnoliopsida; Poales; Poaceae. The record is from RNAcentral.
AUGCAUGAGUUAACUAAGGAAAACAUUGAGCGUAUGAAUGCUAAAUAUAAACUUGCUGGAGAUAAGGGUAGAAAACAUGUUGUGUUUGCACCUGGAGAUCUUGUUUGGUUACAUUUGCGUAAGGAUAGAUUUCCUGAUUUGCGCAAAUCAAAGCUAAUGCCACGUGCUGAUGGUCCUUUUAAGGUGUUAGAGAAAAUAAAUGAUAAUGCAUAUAAACUUGAGCUGCCUGCAGAUUUUGGGGUUAGUCCCACUUUUAAUAUUGCAGAUUUGAAGGCUUAUUUGGGUGAGGAAGAUGAGCUUCCGUCGAGGACGACUUCAUUUCAAGAAGGGGAGGAUGAUGAGGACAUCAAUACAAUUAUUACACCCACAGUCCCUGCUGCUAUACAUACUGGACCAAUUACUAGAGCUCGCGCACGCCAAUUAAAUUACCAGGAAACAGACCCUCGUGGUCAGGUUGAUCGUGCUCCGGCGUGGUCGAUAACCUCUCGGAGUUGGUUUAGCGAUUGCUAA